Molecule: ribosomal RNA, 498 nt
Filed under: 'Daucus carota' phytoplasma
Lineage: Bacteria; Bacillati; Mycoplasmatota; Mollicutes; Acholeplasmatales; Acholeplasmataceae
Description: bacterial SSU rRNA
Rfam family: Bacterial small subunit ribosomal RNA
Source: RNAcentral
GAGGCACGAAAGCGUGGGGAGCAAACAGGAUUAGAUACCCUGGUAGUCCACGCCGUAAACGAUGAGUACUAAACGUUGGGUAAAACCAGUGUUGAAGUUAACACAUUAAGUACUCCGCCUGAGUAGUACGUACGCAAGUAUGAAACUUAAAGGAAUUGACGGGACUCCGCACAAGCGGUGGAUCAUGUUGUUUAAUUCGAAGGUACCCGAAAAACCUCACCAGGUCUUGGCAUGCUUCUGCAAAGCUGUAGAAACACAGUGGAGGUUAUCAGUUGCACAGGUGGUGCAUGGUUGUCGUCAGCUCGUGUCGUGAGAUGUUGGGUUAAGUCCCGCAACGAGCGCAACCCUUAUUGUUAGUUACCAGCACGUAAUGGUGGGGACUUUAGCAAGACUGCCAGUGAUAAAUUGGAGGAAGGUGGGGACGACGUCAAAUCAUCAUGCCCCUUAUGACCUGGGCUACAAACGUGAUACAAUGGCUGUUACAAAGGGUAGCUGAAG